RNAcentral lists this long non-coding RNA (850 nucleotides) under Physcomitrium patens. RNAcentral's name for it is "long non-coding RNA (PPAT_LNC013973)". Lineage: Eukaryota; Viridiplantae; Streptophyta; Bryopsida; Funariales; Funariaceae. The record is from RNAcentral.
GAAAACUCAUAAGAUUGAUCAGAACAAGGAUGUGUCGUUGUCGGUGGCGGUAGUGGCUCAGUGCAUAGCUCGGACGCAUCAAUACUUGCCUAUCCAUUGGUUGCCAUCGACGAAAUUCCACGACAAGAAUGGUCGCGCCUGCGCGUCGGUAAGCUCCUUGGACCAGUUCACUCGUCCCUUGGUGUCAGCUCCGACGCCUGUGCACUUGUAUUGCCCGUAAUACACCGUCCUGAAGCAUCGACAGUUUGUAACUUAAGUUUGUUGGAUCGGCAUCCUCUCAAGUCUAGAAAAGUAUGAUACUAGCAAGAUUGGAAAGCUGUAGGGGUAACUCGGAAGUGUGUGUGUUUUUUAGGUGGUGAUGGACAAUCUGGAGAUGGUGGUGAAGUAAGAGAGGGAGUGGAGAUCUUACUUUUCUCUAGCAGGAUCGCCCCAGUUGUACCACCCUGCGGGAAUAAUGGGGGCGGAGAUGUCGGUGUACAGGAGCACGACCCUGGAGUAAGGACCCCAAGCGCGGCCAAUGUAGAUAGGCCCGUUCCCGGUGACGUUGCAACGAACGAAGGAAAACCCGCUAGUCUCCGCUUUCGUCAUCUUCUUCUGGGCGGUCAAGGACCCGCUGCCAGGGUUGGCAAUCGAGUGCAAAUGACAUGUCUGCAUUGGGAUUCAAUCGGUGAGUUUGGAAUUCACUGGAGUUGUUCCUGUUUUCCUGAUGUCCUACUCAGUUGAGCGUUUCGCGGAGUGACUGAAGAGUUGCGAGAGAAUGUAGUUGGCAGGUUUUUACCUCAUAAUACGACUGACCGUUGCCGAAGACGAAGUCGAUGGAGCCCUGGAUGUAGCAAUCUUUGAAGUAAUG